CCCUGGGUUUGGUGUGUAUGUAAUGCAAACAUGCGGCCACUUGAAUUCCUUUGGUGAUGGUGCUUUAGCAGAGGACUAAUGCACGUCAGAGUUUUGCACAAAAAGCACACCGUAUGGGCGUCGCCGGUGGCUCCGUGGUAAAGACUCCGCCGGCCGAUGCCGGAGACACGGGCUGGAUCCCCGACCCGGGAAGACCACAAGCUGAGGAGCAGCUAAGCCUCCUGACAACCGCUGAGCCUCUGCUCUCGAGCCCGGGAGUUGCGACUACUGAGUUCGCGUGCUGCAGCUGCGGAGCCCAGGUACCACAGCUACCGAAGCCCGGGUCCCAGAGCCCCAGCUCUGCAAGGAGAGAAGCCGCUGCCACGAGAAGCCGACGCCCCAACGACUCGAGUGCAGCCCCUGCUCACCGCGACUGGAGAAAGCCUGUGUGCUGCAAGGAAGACGGCGCACAGCCUAAACUUUGGCCACCUCCCUGCCCAAAGCUCUGGCCCUGGGGCCAAGUCCCUCCGUCUCUUUCCAGCCCACCAUUGCCAGCUCUGGCCCUGGGGCCGAGUCCCUCUGUCUCUUUCCAGCCAACCAUUGCUAGCCUCCUUCCUGCAUCUUUACCUGGUGCUGCUGAGUUCUUAGACUGCUCAUGGCCAAGCCAGGACAAAACAACAGCCUCUGGCGUCCUUCUGGCCAGUUUGUAGCUACGAGGAGGAGCAGCAGCCGCUGGCGGAAAACAUGUCAAAUAGCCCUGGCUCCUAUGGGAAUCACAGAGGUGAAAAAACAUCCUUUUCUUGGUGAAGCACCACUGUGGGAUUGCAAAGUCCCAGGACCAAGACUUUUUUAACUUUUUAUUUUGUAUCGGGGUAUAGCCGAUUCACAAACAAUACUGUGAUCAUUUCAGGUGAAUAGUGAAGGGACUCAGCCAUACAUAUACCUGUAUCCAUUCUCCCCCAAACUCCCCUCCCAUUCUGACUGCCUCAUAACAUUGAGCAGAGUUCCCUGUGCUGUACAGGAGGUCCUUGUUGGUUAUCCAUUUUAAAUAUAGCAGUGUGUAC
Bos taurus (domestic cattle) is the source of this 1043-nucleotide long non-coding RNA. The record is from Ensembl. Lineage: Eukaryota; Metazoa; Chordata; Mammalia; Artiodactyla; Bovidae.